CAUGUUGUGCUCUGCAUGUGUGUGCAUCUGUCUAGGAAAAACUGAAUUCUGUCUUUCACACACACACACACACACACACACACACACACACACACAC
This 97-nucleotide microRNA precursor is filed under the name Chlorocebus sabaeus (green monkey). Its description in RNAcentral is "miRNA (ENSCSAG00000024334.1)". Lineage: Eukaryota; Metazoa; Chordata; Mammalia; Primates; Cercopithecidae. The record is from RNAcentral.